Molecule: long non-coding RNA, 1788 nt
Organism: Myotis lucifugus (little brown bat)
Lineage: Eukaryota; Metazoa; Chordata; Mammalia; Chiroptera; Vespertilionidae
Exons: 4
Source: RefSeq, a predicted model, not a curated record
UAUAUGUGGGAACGGUUUAAUUGUCUCCAUGAGGAUUCUUAGUAAUCAGGAUGCCAGUGUGUGUUUUCCAGAGCCUAGAGCUGACAUAAAUAAUGUAGCGUGGCUCGCUCUGUGCAGGCUUGCUGAGGAAUGCUGAUGGAGAGAGCCAAACGGGGAUCUGAGGCUCCCGGCUCCCGGCGCAGCCUUUAAAAUCCUUUUAUUGAGUAGUAGUGUUGAAACCACACCCGGGCCUCGGCGGGCGGGCGGUGGAUGCCAGGAGAAGCCGACAGAGGAGAAACUUUAGGGGGAGCUGCCUCGCUGGGUGUUUUGGAGGAUGCGAAUCUGGAUGGCUCCAGGGAACGACUGGUUAAUUUCAUGUUGCGUCCCUAAUCCCAGAAGGAGCAGGACGGUUCUGACAAGGCCCUGAAAGCCCGGCACUUGGGGUCUAGAAAAGAAGAUUAAAGCAGGAUCCGUUUAAUGUAUUUAGUUUGCCUCCCAGACAUGAAGCUUCAGAAUGGUCGUCCCAUUCCACCUACAUCUUCGUCUAGCCUCCUCCCAUCUGCUCAGCUGCCUAGCUCCCAUAAUCCUCCACCCGUUAGCUGCCAGAUGCCAUUGCUAGACAGCAACACCUCCCAUCAAAUCAUGGACACCAACCCCGAUGAGGAAUUCUCCCCCAAUUCAUACCUGCUCAGAGCAUGCUCAGGGCCCCAGCAAGCCUCCAGCAGUGGUGAAAUAAAACCCCUUCCAACACAAUCAGCCCAGGCAUGACCGUAAGCCAUAAUUCCCUGCUGUCCUCGAUGGUUGCUGUUAUUGCUUGGCAUUAGCGAAGGCCAUCAGUAGGGGAGUCACUGCACACAUUUCCUGCCCGAAGACCCUUUGUUCUAAAGAGACAACCAGACAUAAACUGCACAACUAAAAUGCUUUGGACAACAUGAAAAGCCCCUCAAAGCAACAGCAGUGCUUUACCUUUAUGGCUCUGUGUCAUUAUUUUCUAUGAGUGCAGCACGUUCUUUAGUGGAUGGUACUAAAACCUUGGCACCUUUGGAGCCAAGUCACUGUAACCUUCAUUCUGUGCCCAUCAAGCUGAUACCCAGGGACUCUAGUGAGAUGCUUAGAAGAGUGGCACCUCCCUUCCCUCCAGCGUCCUCUUCCCCCAAAGCUAAGCUCUGGCAGGUGGCUCAUCCUGUGUACGGCUUCUGCCAGGCCAGAUUAGCUCCAGAGUUGUUUCUUGUGUUAUAGCGGCCUAAUUUCAAACCCUAUGAAAUAACUCAUCUGGAAAGGAAAUCUGAAUCCGAGUGGCAGCGUAAUGGAGGGCCCUGCAGAUGCAAGCAUGAUGAGACUGCCUUUCAAACGGGAAUGGGGUCUGCACUUUGCUAUGAGCGUAUGAGGCAGAAAAUAAACGGGCAGCCACACUGUAAUCAAAAGCAUUGGCUUACCUCCCUCUCAUAAAAGGUUGCGUUUUCCGUUUUCUUAAAAGUCUGAAUGAAGGGGUUUAGAACACUCAUUAGUAGCAUCAGACAUAGGGAAGAAAUGUCACCGGAUACCUGUCAGACAGAGCCCUCCCACUCGGUCCUCUGUGACGGGGGAGCCCUCCCAGCUGCAAAGCCUCCAAGUGUAACUGAGCACGUUAAAGGUGCCCGGGCCCUUUCUUAAAAGCCAAUGUCUUGGUUCAAUUCUAAAUGAAACUUGUACAUCCAAACCAGCAAGUUUGGGGUUGCCUAGAGUGGCCCAAGAAUUCAACUGGCUAGAUCAUUUAAUGAUUAUCUUGGUUACCUGGCAUCAUAAAGCAAAAGAGCCUCAUUUAUUAAC